AGUCUAGCUACUAGACAUUUGAGCUGAAGCACAAGCCUUUCCUCUUGGAAUUGAUUUAGAACCCAAAGGAGGAGUUUCUAUCAUCAAUGCUAGCUGUACAUUCAAAUGCAUAUGCUUGUUUGAGAAGAAGCACAUCCCAUUACUAUUACAUGGCUAAAUCGGCUGCAUGGCAAGGAGAAAGUCGCAACUCCGCCAUGGACUUAUGUGGCGAUGGGAGUAGAGAGAUGGCAAUUCAUGCUGGUAGUGCUAUAAGGCCACGCCAGGGUUUGUGACAUUGCUGGGUGCCGGUCAUGGCCUGUGUGCGAUGUGGGCAUGAC
Molecule: long non-coding RNA, 317 nt
Organism: Triticum dicoccoides
Lineage: Eukaryota; Viridiplantae; Streptophyta; Magnoliopsida; Poales; Poaceae
Exons: 3
Source: RefSeq, a predicted model, not a curated record